This 322-nucleotide ribosomal RNA is filed under the name uncultured bacterium. Its description in RNAcentral is "bacterial SSU rRNA". It matches the Rfam family "Bacterial small subunit ribosomal RNA", at positions 28 to 351 of the family's 1533-position model. The record is from RNAcentral.
GACGAACGCUGGCGGUGUGCUUAACACAUGCAAGUCGAGCGGUAAGGCCCUUUCGGGGGUACACGAGCGGCGAACGGGUGAGUAACACGUGGGUGACCUGCCCUCAGCUCUGGGAUAAGCCUGGGAAACCGGGUCUAAUACCGGAUAUGACUCCAUGACGCAUGUUGUGGGGUGGAAAGCCUUGUGCGGCUGAGGAUGGGCCCGCGGCCUAUCAGCUUGUUGGUGGGGNGAUGGCCUACCAAGGCGACGACGGGUAGCCGGCCUGAGAGGGCGACCGGCCACACUGGGGCUGAGACACGGCCCAGACUCCUACGGGAGGCAG